AACGCACAUUGCGCCCCCUGGUAUUCCGGGGGGCAUGCCUGUUCGAGCGUCAUUUAUACCAAUCUAGCCUGGCUAGGUGUUGGGCUUCGCCGUCUGGCGGGCCUUAAAACUAGUGGCGGUGCUCUUAGGCUCUACGCGUAGUAAUUUUCUCGCUAUAGGGUCCUGGGAGAUGCUGGCCAGCAACCCCAAAUUUUUCUAGGUUGACCUCGGAUCAGGUAGGGAUACCCGCUGAACUUAA
This 238-nucleotide unclassified non-coding RNA is filed under the name Lachnum sp. RNAcentral's name for it is "partial contains 5.8S ribosomal RNA, internal transcribed spacer 2, and large subunit ribosomal RNA". The stretch from base 1 to 52 matches the Rfam family "5.8S ribosomal RNA", at positions 103 to 154 of the family's 154-position model. Lineage: Eukaryota; Fungi; Ascomycota; Leotiomycetes; Helotiales; Lachnaceae. RNAcentral also lists the same sequence under 2 other names. The record is from RNAcentral.